This 1249-nucleotide long non-coding RNA is filed under the name Numida meleagris (helmeted guineafowl). RNAcentral's name for it is "lncRNA (ENSNMEG00000015885.1)". Lineage: Eukaryota; Metazoa; Chordata; Aves; Galliformes; Numididae. The record is from RNAcentral.
GGUACGAGAAUGCAAAAAAAUUCCAAGCUGAAAGGCUUUGUGCUCUGCUUGCUCCAGGAGAUAAUAGUGAGGGAUCAGCUGGGUUCACCAGACUCCACAAGAAGUUUUGUGUUCCAGCUGACUUCCUCCAAGAGAGCUGCCAGCAUGCUUUUUCAUCAGAACUAUGUGAAACACCUGAGUUCAUCGGGACUGAAGGAAAACAGUCUCAGAGACAAAGGACCUAGGAAUCUUUUCCUGCAAUUAACAUGAAUUCAUGAGGUGUGUGUUUUAAGAGCUACAUCUAGUCCUGUGAAAGCAGAGGUAUGAACCAGCAGUUGCAAUGCUAAUUACUGCCCAGUGAUUUGAGGGGACCUGCACAAUGUGCUAACAUGCCUAUGAUGACAUGCAGCAUGAUACAUGGGGAAAGGUGAAGGCAAGGCUCAUAUAUCCCCAUAACGCUGAAAGCAUAUUUCCCUCUCUAAUAACUUACAAACAGUCACCAUUUGCUGUCUGCAAAAUUAACCUCUCAUCUCCUCCAGCCUGCUGAUCUGGUGCAUAGAUAUAGGAUUUUAAGCUUCUCUAUUGAAAAAUGUCCCUGCAAAGCUGUCCAUCAGAACUCCCACUGCUUUCCAGAGAGUGUUAUUAAUAAGUUCUUCCUAUCAGAAAUGGGACCCUUUUAGAGCUCAGACAAGGUUUUUUUCCUGUUAACCAGCUGGGCUGCUUGGCUGUGGACAAAUGCCAUGAUGAAUGACGGGUCAAGGAUGGAGCAGGCUGAUUUCUCUCCAAGCCUGACCUUGUCUCUGGUGUGACAUCUGAAAUGACAGGUGCAUUAAAAAGUUAUUUAUGUAGGGGAGCUGCGAUGCAUUGUACCCUUUGCAAGGUAGCACCCAGUUUUGCAAGAGUGUUAGAAAAAAGGCUGCCCCUGUGUCUGCUGCCUCUUGCACUGCCAGCUUUCUGUAAGCAGCUGCUAUGAAAGCAGGAGGAGAAGUGUUGCACAUUUUUUAGCGCACAGAAGAUGCUCUGGGAAAUGAAAGGCAAAAUAGGGAGCAGGGUCCGAGAGCAGCAGCAGACGGCUUCCCAGCAAAUCACCUGUGUGUGUGCAGAUUGCCUGCCUGGAACAGCAGUAACCAGCUCUGGAAAUGCACCUGAAGGGUUCUGGGCUGUUGAAGGCCCAAUGUUGUGGAUAAAAUGCAGCACUGAAGAUUAAAUGACUUCUGCUGUUCAGCUCCUUAUGGCCUCAGUGCUCUUGUGAGACUUUCUCUUUUGACUC